Chlorocebus sabaeus (green monkey) is the source of this 661-nucleotide non-coding RNA. The record is from RefSeq and is a predicted model, not a curated record. NCBI's taxonomy places the organism in Eukaryota, Metazoa, Chordata, Mammalia, Primates, Cercopithecidae.
GGGAAAUUCGAGAGCCGCGCAGCUUACACCCGCGGCGGGUGAAGGGAGCACUGUGACGAGAAACCGCUGAGCGUGACCGCCCUUCCCUCAAGGAGUUGGCUUUUAGCCUCACGGCCGGUUUCUGUUGGAAAAGCUGGCUGUGAGGCACCGUGCCCCAACCUCCCAGCACCUUCCUUGAUGCUCACUCCUGCUCAGCCCCUCAGUUAAGGUGCUGCACUACACCUGGUCCACAGGGGGCCUCGGCCGGAACUCGCUUUCAGGUGGAAGUCAUCGCUGGCCAGGCACACACUGCACCCACACAGAACCCAGUUCUUCAGUGGAGUAUCAGGACACCACAUAGCCCUUAAUUUUCAACUAUACAGGUGCCAGGCUCCUGCUGCACACUCAUCCACCUGCACCUACACCCACACUGAACCAGAGCACUAAAAUACAAGGAAACUUUUAUUUUCAAUUUUCAUCAAGAAAUUUGCUGUGGUUUUUUAUGCUUUUGGUUUUUUUUUUUUUUUUUUUUUCCACUUUAUUUCAUUUAGCCGCUCAGUGGCUAGAGCCGCUGGGUUCCUGGUAUUAAAAAGAUGCCAACAGAGGUAGCUGUGUCUCGCCCAGGGGCCCAGCCCACUCUGAAUACCCCCAAAAAAGGAGAAAAGAAAACACAAAAUAAACC